This is a long non-coding RNA of Homo sapiens (human), 1088 nucleotides long. Ensembl annotates it as long intergenic non-protein coding RNA 2165. NCBI's taxonomy places the organism in Eukaryota, Metazoa, Chordata, Mammalia, Primates, Hominidae. The record is from Ensembl.
GGGGAUACAGCCAAAGGAGGAUCCUUUGCUUCAGAUGAUCCUGGAUCAUGGAGCCAUGAAGAUGUUGAUAGUUGGAUAUCAGGAACAGAUGAUGUCAAUCACUAAUGGAUCACAGUUGACCAGGGGAAACUAAAAUCAUGGGAAACAAAACCAUGGAUAAGGCAGUACUACUGUAUACAGUUGGCCCUCCAUAGCCAUGCACUCUGCAUCAGUGGAUUCAAUCAGCCAUGGAUAAAAAAAUGUUUGAAAAGUUUAAAAGAAUGGUUGUUUCUGUACUGAACAGGUUAGGUGUUCAAGCUGUGUUAAAUCACAUCCCUGAUGUUUAUGUGGUCAGGAUAUGUGCCCUUGAGUGACCAAGCAGAAGUGAGUGGAACUUUCUACCAUGCUUUGUAUGCUAAGACUUCCAUCAACGAGUGAUUUUCUUGCUUUAAAUUUAAUGCUGACUCCAUUCAAGCAGAAAAUAGAUUUGAAGACAAUGAAAAAUGUGCCACUUUAUUUCCCUAAGGCCUUCUCUGCACAGUAGGCCUUGAACAAAAGUAAUUUCAUAAGGAGAGACAAACAACUAAGUGAAUCUUCAAAUACAAAAAUUUAUUGUUUUUUUUUGCUAAAUUAUUUUACUAAGUAUUGAUUUUCUGAUUCUUAUUAUCCAUCUUCAGAUCACAAGGCUUAGUGUAGAAUUUGCUUACACUGUGAUAACAAAAUUCAUAAUCAAAUGGGAAGAGGAAAUAAUCCUACCGUGGUGCAUGCCAUUUUUCUAUCCAAGGGAACCUCGUAAGUUGCUGAUAAGAAUAAAUUGCAGUGAAUGAGAAAAUCAUGAAAAGUCAAAAAUUAAAGGAUCCUUAGUGAUAACCUGGCACAGUGAUUAUUUUUUCCCUUCCAAGGGGAGGAACAUUUUAUUUUUUGAAUUGGAACAUUUUUGUUGCUGUUUUUCUACAUGGUCACCAUGUUUUUAGAAUAUCUUCUAAUGUAGUAACAUUGUAUUUAUUGAGAAAUAACGGCUAAUACUGAAUUUGUUCAAUUUCAAAAAUGGGAAAAUGUGCAGAGUGUAUGAUCAUAAACAACAGUGGUAACAAUAGCAAGCAAAACAA